This 7726-nucleotide long non-coding RNA is filed under the name Marmota monax (woodchuck). The record is from RNAcentral. Lineage: Eukaryota; Metazoa; Chordata; Mammalia; Rodentia; Sciuridae.
UCUCUCCCUUGCUCUACCAGUCUGAGGACCAUCCAUGCUGCCCCCAGAGCCUUGACAGCUCCUGAACAGAUUCCAGGCAAGAGAAACUGAAAGGAUCUCCUUUUAGCCCCUACUUUUGACUAGGGCCUUCUGCAUCACUUGCUGAGGUCAGUAGGUAAAAUGGGAGGGUUAGGGCAUAGAGGAAUGGUGCACACAGACCAGAGAGCUCUUUGCACCCUAGAAUUAGGGAGAGGAUAUGAGUUUUGCAUGGAGGUGUCCAUAGACUGGAGGAAUAAGUCUGAAAGGCUGACAGAUUGUUUCAAGAAGUGUCAAGCAAGCCAUGCAAGAAGGGAGGUGACUGGAUCUCAGGAAGUGGAGUGUGGAACCUUGCCCUGCCCUUGUGGGAUCUCCUGGGUGAGAAGUCAUGGUGGAUGGAAAGGAGUUGAACAGGGAAGCCCAGGGUGGCAGCAAUUAGGAUAGGGGAACUGAUGGGUGGUUGGACAGCUAUGAAGCUGUUCUUCUCAUCUGCCUGCCUCUGCUCUUGACUUCCCAGGUUUGGGAUGAGGGGAGAGGCCGUGAUUAGAAAGAAGGGGAUAUGGAAGCAGAGCUACCCCAGGCACUAGAAGACUAGAUGGAGGGCAGAAAAUGAGAAAGUGGUACAGAACAGAGACCUGGAGACAUUCGGGGGACAGGGAGCAGUUUAUGUUGAACUGGAAAUCUGGAAACAGGCCUCUCUGGUCUCGAAGUUCCCGGUAUUGGGGGCGCGGGAGCGGCAGCCGAGCAGGCUGGGUGGGGGGCGGGCAGCUGUGUCGUCAGGAGUUGGGGCGGCCCCGAGGCCGCUGCGUCUGCUUGGCCCGUCCUCUCCAGCCCAGCUCCAGCUCCAGCUCCUCCAGCGCCAGCGCCAGCGCUUCAGCUCCGACCGCUCGCGCUCCUCGGGCAAGGUAGAGACCCCGCCCUUCCACGCUCUCCCACUGGAGUAGGAGGCCGGCCUCCAAAGGGGUCGCCUCGCGGGCUGGGUUGGGGCUGCGAGGCAGCGAAGGAGGAAGCGUAACAGCUGGAGUGGGUGGCUAGGGUGGUUUGCGCUGGGACGCCGCGGGCAGGGGGAGGGUUGGGCCAGAACCGCGUAGGCAGCCUCUCCACAGACAUUUUCUUCCAUCCUUCCUGGUCACUCGGAAGGAUGAUGAAGCUCUGCUUCUUGGGGACCCGACUCCCAAGGAAGUCCCUUUUGGAAUCUCCACAGUGCCGCACAGGUGGAGAAGGGUUCUUAUUUGUCCUCCUGGUCCCCAACUUCCUGUCCUCAUCCUUUACACACCUGUCACCAGCUAGUUUCUAAAAAUCCCUGAUUCUGAAUCCCACUUUUCAGCUUCAAGUAAAAGAAAUGAGUCUUCUCGCGGAAGAAAUGCAAAUAGUGUUAGACAUCUCUUCAGCCUCAGAACAUACAUGGCCACAUCCCCACAACCAUGCCAAUAUCGUAACUUCCUCCAGUACUACGCAAUGAUACCCUCCACAUGUACCACCCCCUUAACCAGACAACACUAUCGUCUGCGAUGUUUGUGGAGGUUUAAUUAAUUUUGAGGCUUCGGGCCAAAUAAUUCUCUCUCGGGGACCACUGACUUACAGAAGCAGGAAUGAACAGGGAAUAAUAAACCUUUUUUCAGUCUUGGGAGAGGAAGAGGAUACAGUCCCUGAUAGAGUUAAGGGAUUCAGAGGCCCAGGUAAUCAGGCCUGAGCCCUCAAACUAGGAGUGCCUGCCCCUUGGGGAUUCUUGCUGGGACAGCCUGAAUGUCCUGGGGACAUAGCUAAUUCUUGAGUAAUGAUCAGCUUAUGACCUGGAAUGUGAAAAUUUAAAUGUUAGCACUGGCUUUAGCAAUGAUAUUUAUCUCUUGGUUAACACCAAUUUUAGUGUUUGAUGUUUAAAAUUAGAUCUAGGGAAUGAGAGAUACUAAGAUUUAGUGGGAUGGAGUAAGGACAGCACAUCUAGAGUCUAAGACUCUGACAGUCAUUUUCUCUAAGUCUUACUUUCCUCCAUUCUCUUCGUUUGAUUGUUUGUUAGAGAUGGGGUGGAGGGUGUUUCAGUAUGUUGCCCAGGUUGGGCUUGAAUUCUGGAUCCUCCUGGCCAGCCUCCUGAGAACCUGGAUAUAAAGGCAUGUGCCACUGAGCCCUGUUGUUCAGUUUCCUCCUUUGUAAAAUAUGAGAAUUGGCAACUCCCAGCUGAGAAUGUUGUAGCAUUCUUCACCUUUAAAUCAACAUAUUCCUUUUGCCCCAAGUUGGAAGAGGUGGGUAGGGAAACCAGAAGAGAGAAGGGUAGAGUGAGUCACAAAUAGCUGGCAGGCAGGCAGCAGACCCCACCCUUCUAGCCCUGGCAUUCGCCUGGACUAGCCCAGGUUAUAGCCUCAGGGUUGGGAUGGAGCUAGAGGACAAAAUUGAACUUGUUCCAGAUCUUUAAGGGCCCAGGAUCCUGCAGCUUGCUGUCCUUCACCCCCAGAGGCAUCCAAACUUUCAAUGAAAGAAGUCAAAAAGAAGAUUAAACAGAUCCAGGAGUCCUUAUGUCCAAGAGCUCAACCCAGGGAUGUCCUUGGACUCUUUUUUUUUUUUUAAAGGAUUUCCCCAUCUUUUUUUUUUUUUUUUUUGAGAGAGAUAGAUUUUAAUAUUUAUUUUUUAGUUUUCGGCAUCUUUGUUUGUAUGUGGUGCUGAGGAUCGAACCCAGGCCGCACACAUGCCAGGCGAGCGCACUGCCGCUUGAGCCACAUCCCCAGCCUCUGUCCUUGGACUCUUAACAGUCUAGUUUCUAAAAAUUCCAGAGCAAAGUAUAGGAUUCUGACAUUACUAUAUGUCGGUACCUGAUAUAUAAAAAGGGGUGGAAGGUAUACACCCGAGCUUCACUGCUGCUUGAAGUCCCUAGAACUUGUGCCUUUCUGGUUCAGUGGCAUAAUUUUUCAUAAUGUCCACAUAUCCUUCUCUAGGUAGAAUAAUAGCUAAUGUUUAUUGAAUUCUUUGUGACACACAGUUUAUUAUAUACAUUGCUUAUACAAUCUUAUUUAAUCUCCACUCUGUGACAGAUUUCUCUAGGUACCCAUUUUACUGAUGAAAACUGAGGUUGGGCUGGAGGCAUAGCUCAGUGGCAGUAUGCUUACUCAGCAUUCAUGAGGCACUUAUGCAUACAUAUACAACACUGAGAUUCAAGGAAAUGAAAUGACUCAUCCACAAGCUAGGAUUUUAACCUAUGCCUAAUUUGAAAGUCCAUCCCUGCCCCCUUUGUGGUAGGAGGGAUUGAAUUCAGACCUUUGCUAUGUUAGGCAAGUGCUCUACCACUGAGAUACAUUCCCAACCUUUUUUAAAUUUUUGAGACAGUUUUCACUAAGUUGCCCAGGCUGGCCUCAAACUUGGGAUUCUUCUGCCUUGGUUUCCCAAAGUGCUGGGAUUACAGGUUUAUACCACAAACCUGUCCCAAAGUCCGUUUUCUUAGUUAACUAGUAACUAGUGGUUACUAAUAUAUAGUAAUUGCUACAUACUACUUCUCCAGGUUUAAGGCCUGGAGAGCUAGGAAGAGGCAAAAACAAGUUGAGUCAUUGUGAAAAGAGAGACAAGGAGAUAAUCUGGAACACAUACAGUAGGUGGUAAAUCAAUAGUUGAUUUAUUUUCCUCUCUUUUAUUUUUCCUUGUGCUGUCAUUUUCUCCCUCAGAUUCUAUUUUUUCCAGAACUUUGGAGUAAUGUAAAAAUCCCCAAGGGGUUAAUCAGAAAGGCUAAUUAAGCAAUGCAGGCCCUAUUGAUACUAAGAUUGUUAUAUAUUCAUUAGAUCUGUUGGCAGCAGAAGUUGAAUUAUAGUAAUUGGUAAAGGCCAAAUGGGUAGUCUUUUCUCCAGGAUGUCAGUGUCCCAGGACCCUCUUCCAAGUGUUCCCAGAAAGCCCUGGAACAGGAAUGUUGUACUGCAUAGAGGUGGACAGCAGAGAUGUCCCAAGGGCAGAAGUUGCAGAGAAGGUUCUUGCGCCAUCAGAAAGGAAGGGGGCGGAACUAUUGUAGGCCCUAAAGGCCUCCCUGCUUUGCCUGAUCUCAUAAGCCCCAAAGGAGUAAAUGGAGGUCAAAAUGUUUGAUGAAGUAACUCAAUAAAUGCUUUAUAGAAUCAUUUACUCUUUUACCAACUAUUGAUUUACCAUCUACUGUAUGUGUUCCAAAUUAUCUCAUCCUUUCCUUACUGUUAAGUAGACACUGCUAUCCAUUUAAUCAUACUGAUUAACAGUUCCAAAAUAAGACUCCCCUGCUUUAUACAAUCAUUCGUAUAACCUAUAUUGAGCACUCACUAUAUGCUGGACGUUCUUUUAGGUACUUGGACUAUAUUGGCAAACAAGACUGACAAGUUCCUGCCCUUAUGGAACUCACAUUUUUUUAAAAUAAUUAUUUUAUUACAUUUAUUUGUAUGUGAUGCUAAGGAUCGAACCCAGUGCCUAACACAUGCUAGGCAAGCACUCUACCACUGAGCUCCAGACUCAGCCAUGGAACUCACAUUUGAUAGAAGAGAACAGUAAAUAAAAAGCAAAUUUCCAGUUACUUUGGAUGCCAAGGUAGGAGGAUCACAAGUUUAAGGCCAGCCUGGGCAAUUUAGUGAAGCCCUGUCUCAAAAUAAAAUAAAAAUAAGGACUGGGGAUGUGGCUUAGUGGUGGGGUGCUUGCCUGGCAUGCACCACAAUCCUCAUCACCACAAAAAAUAAAAUAAAAUAAAAAUAAGGGUUGUUGAUGUAACUCAGAAGCAGAAUUAUCCAGGAUUCAAUCCCAUAACUCCCCUUCCCCCACUGCCUGGGACACACACACAAAGAAACAAAUAAAUAGGGAAGAUAAUUUCUACUUGUGAUAAAUUCUAUGAAGGAAACAAAGAAGAAAUACCAUUUUAAGAUGGAACAGUCAAGGAAGCUCUCUUGGAGGAGCUGAUAUUCAGUUGAGGCAAGAAGUUGGCUUUGCCAGGUGUGGGGAGGAGGAUGCAGUGCUGCACAACUAUAAUCCCAGUGACUCUGGAGGAUGAGACAGGAGGAUUGCAAGUUUGAGAUCAGCCUCAGCAACUUAAGUGAGGUCUUAAGCAACUUAGUGAGAACCUGUCUCAAAAUAAAAAGUAAAAAGGGCUGGAGACAUGGCUCAGAGGUAAAGUGCCUCGAGGUCCAAUCCCCAAUAUCCAAAAUAAAUAAUAAAAACUUAACUUUUAAUAUAAUAACUACCAUUUUUAUAGGCUUCCUGUAUGCAAGGCAUUAUACUAGGCAUUUUUCAUAUAUUAUAUUAUUUAAUAUAAUUGUGAAAGCUAGGUAUCAUUCUCCCCACUUUACAGAUUUAACUUGCCCGAGACACACAGAGCUAUCAGAGCUAAGAAUUGGAACCAAAUAGAACUGACUUUUAGUUCUGUUUGACUCUAAAAUCGUGCUGUACUAUUUACUAUUGUAAUAUGUAAUAACGUACUUUUUGUUUUCUUCUGGUACUGGGGCUUGAACCCUGGGGCGUUUAACAACUGAGCCAUAUCCCCAGACUUUUUAUUUUAUUUUUUUAUUUUGAGACAGCAUCUCAAUAAGUUGCUUAGGGCCUCGCUAAAUUGCUGAGGCUGACUUUGAACUCCAGACCCUCCCGCUUCAGCGAUCCUCCAGCCUUAAACCGCCCCCACCCCCAAGUCGCUGGGAUUACAGGCGUGCACCACCACGUUCAGCCGUAACAUGUAAUUAUUGUAUUGCUGUUUUUGAACCAUCAAGGCAAGUCGCCUUCUGCAACUUGGUCCCUGUUUGGGGGGAUGGAGUGUGAGGAUCAGCAAUAUCCACGUGAGAGCUCCUCCUUGUUUCCUGGGUCCAAUAGCAGAAAGUUGGGGUUCCCUAAACCUAGGGUUCCUCCUAGGUUCCUUAAACUUAGGAGGGUGGAAGGAAGACCCUGGCAUCCAAGACUCCAGCACGCAGCUCCAUGGUGCGGCGCCUGGGAAAUGAGGCUGGUGUACAGAGCAUUCUACCACUACCUCCUCCCAGCCCCGCGCGCCUGGGUCCCCACCCUUUCCCAGUGGAGCUCCACGGCGAGGCGGGGCCAGAGCUAGGGACCCAGCCAGAGCCUGCGCUGGUUCUGUGUCGCGCGUCAGAAGCGCUAGAGGUCGUUGCGGGGCGAAGUGGAAGUGGGUAGCUGAGCGCCCUGGGGACCCCGGCUAGAGGCGGAGCAAGAUGGGGUCCUGGCCUGGGAGGCGUGCUAGCUUAGUAAGAACCACCCGGAGGGCUGGCGGGGACUGCAGACCUGAGAUGGAAGAGAAGUCGGGCUAUGAAGAGACAACAGAGACUGGGGGUGGCGUGAGACACAGAAACAGGCCAGAGAUAUAUUCAUAUAAACAUAUAUAGACUUGGAAAGGAGGGGUGGAAGGUGGGGAGGUGAUGAGGGUCAGGUGAAUCAAGAUGGAUUUGGGGAGAAGUCAGAGUGGGAAAAGAUCCAGAAAUGAAGGAGAUAAAGUUAAGAAAUGAGUCAGAGAAACAGAGAUAGAGGACAGGCUCUGUAAGGGAAAAUAGAGAGGGGGAGGUUUAGGGAGGGACACAGAGAAGGAAAGCACAGAAAUCACAGUGGGAGUAAAGACUGAAUGGAUCAGAGAGAAACAAAGAAAUCCAGACAGCUGGCUCUUCUCCAUGUAGCUCUUGUCAUCUUCCUUCAGGCCUACCCUCUGAAGAGGACAAACCGCAAGAAGUACUACUACGAAGCUAUCUUUCUGGCCAUCAUUCAGAAAAACAGAAAGAUGGCCAAGGAAAGGGGACUAUUAAGCCCUGAAGACUUUGCCCAGCUGCAAAAAUACAUGGAAUGUGAGCCUUCCUCCCAGCUCUUCAGUUCUUGGAGACUACCCAAAGAAUCCCUCUUUAUUCCUAUUAUAUUUUCCCCAUCACGCCCCAGUUUCCCCAGUGGCUUUAAGCCAGUCUGUCAGAUGGACCCAUGACUGUGUAAGGGAGAAAAACAGAUAAGGAGAUGCCUGGGGUCUCAGCUCUCUACCCACCUUCUGUAUACUUUGACUGCUUUCUGCAAGCCCCAGAAAAGAAAAGAGUGGUACCAUGUUAGAGGAUCUGAAAUGUUUUUCCCUUUGUAUUUCUGUGUUUCUCCUUAGAAUUCUUCCUUCAUCUCAUUCAAAUCUUUUUUUUCCCAUUGGAUGUCUGAGUGGGACUCUGGCAGAAGGCCAGAAGAGCCAAGAUGCCAAGAUGGACUAAUAUUCUUUUCUUACUCUCUUCACACCUAGACUCCAACCAAAAGGUCAGUGAUGUCCUAAAACUCUUCGAGAACGAGAAGAUGGCCAAAUAUCUCCAAGGAGAUGUGAGUGGCAGCUGGAAAUUCUGCUCCUUAAUCAACUUCUUCUUCUUCUUUUUUUUUUUUUUUUUGCCACUCCAUUGGAAUCCCCACUUCAGGGAUUAUUCUUGUCAGCUCGCCUCUAAAUGCCCCAUUGUCCAUUGUCAUUGCAGCUUUUGCUUUAAGACAAAAUAAGAGAUCCUUUGGAUUUGGCUUGCCAAGAAGCAUAUUACUGUUUCAAAUGCUUCUCAGCUUUGCACUUACUGUAUCUGGGCCCACUAUUCCUAGUUCUUCAGUCCCCAACUCCUACCCUGCAAACUCCCAGAGUAAUGCUCACUUCCAUCACAGGCCAUUGGCUAUGAGGGAUUUGAGCAAUUCCUGAAAAUCUAUUUGGAAGUGGAUAAUGUUCCCCAUCACCUAAGCCUGGCACUGUUUCAUUCCUUCCACACUGAUCACUGCUUAAAAGAGAAUGUAAGGAAAG